UGCGUAGGUGGUUUCUUAAGUCAGAGGUGAAAGGCUAGGGCUCAACCGUAGUAAGCCUUUGAAACUGGGAAACUUGAGUGCAGGAGAGGAGAGUGGAAUUCCUAGUGUAGCGGUGAAAUGCGUAGAUAUUAGGAGGAACACCAGUUGCGAAGGCGGCUCUCUGGACUGUAACUGACACUGAGGCACGAAAGCGUGGGGAGCAAACA
This 206-nucleotide ribosomal RNA is filed under the name uncultured Romboutsia sp. RNAcentral describes it as "partial 16S ribosomal RNA". It matches the Rfam family "Bacterial small subunit ribosomal RNA", at positions 568 to 774 of the family's 1533-position model. Lineage: Bacteria; Bacillati; Bacillota; Clostridia; Peptostreptococcales; Peptostreptococcaceae. The record is from RNAcentral.